CUCAUCAGGGGCGUGUUGACGUUCUGCAACUGAGGGGGUCAGGCAUGCCUCUGAAGCAUGGAAGCUUCUGGUAAGCCUGAAUCUACAUCCCCACAACUUGGAUGAGGCAUAACCGACGUAAGAAACUCAUAACAAACUGCGCAGAUCUACAGUGGAAAACUGACACACUUUGAUCACGAAUACACCCGUGAAACCAUCACCACCUUCGAGAUAAUGCAGUAGCCCUUAUCCCCAAAUCUCUUCGCGUCCCCUCAUGUUCCCUCCCGGUCACCUAGCUGCCUGCCGGCACCCUGCAUUCCUUGGCAUUUUCCAGAACCGUACCUAAGUGGAGGCGCACAGAGUGCUGUCUUUCCGUCUGGUUCAUUUUCCUCGUUCUGGGGCUACUACCAAUAAAGCUGCUGCCAACAUUCAUGUGCAAGGUAUCCACAGAUCCUGAUCCACAGACGUGAUGGGGGAGUAUCUGAUCCCUGUUAUUCCAUUUCAGCUAGAAGCAGAAGUCAGCUGGCUUGUAAGGUAAGUUACAGUGGGGUU
Molecule: long non-coding RNA, 531 nt
Filed under: Homo sapiens (human)
Lineage: Eukaryota; Metazoa; Chordata; Mammalia; Primates; Hominidae
Description: HSALNT0360775
Source: RNAcentral